Molecule: long non-coding RNA, 2430 nt
Organism: Astatotilapia calliptera (eastern happy)
Lineage: Eukaryota; Metazoa; Chordata; Actinopteri; Cichliformes; Cichlidae
Source: Ensembl
CAGAUGGCAAACAGAAGUGGUGGUGGAGUUGCUGUUUAUGUGAAAAGUGACAUUCAAGUGCAUGAAAAACAGUACAUCCAUAAUGUAACUGACCUUGAAUUUCUGGCUUUAAAGGUUGAAGCACCAGUCAGUGCUCUGAUUGCAGUUGUAUACAGACCUCCAGACUACACUCUGAGGCCAUUCCUGAAAAACCUGAGCCGAGACACUCAGGACUGAACAGACUGCACAGUUUCUGUGACUGAGCCUCCAAAACACCUUCUUUGAAACCACUCAUGAUAGAAGGGCUUCAUAUUUGCAGCAGCACUACUACAGUUGGCAGGAAUGUUGCUGCAGGAAAACAUCCCUGGAGAUCACCAUCAUUGUCAGACUGACUGUGCCUCCUCUGUGCAGUGUCAAGAUCCUCCCUAAAUGAGUGUUCCUCAGCUAUCCUGCUUCUGUGCUGCUUGCCACACAUCAAACACUGGCCGGAUGACAGGGAGGAUCCACUCUGAAGUCACUGGACAUGAUGAGGAUCAUAUGGGACUUUAUAGUUUCACAGAAACGUUGUGCUCUGUGAUUACAGGUUUUAAAUGGACAUAAUGACUGCCUCUCUCUGAUCAACAGGCUAAAGGAUUGUUUUCAUUGUUAGUGCUCUGUACAAUGUAUGCUUAUUUAAUAUUUCAUCACAGAGCAAACCUUUAUUUAUUUAACAUAUUUUUAUUUUGUUUUAAUGUUGAAUUAACUGUGGGGAUUUUUUUAAGUGGGCACUCGGGAUGUCAUAUGACCAGAAAUGUGGUAACUGGUAUUCAACAGUAUGGAAGAAAAAAUCUGCUAAGAACAAAACACACACAAAACCCCCCAAGAAAAUUCAAAUUCAUUCCAUGUAAUCCAAUCUAAAACAUUUUAAACUGCUGAACAGCAACACAAACAGUGUUAAAAAACAGUGUUAACAGAAUGAUUAUGAUGAUUUUGUACCAAAGUUUCAGGUCACAUGGCACACCUAGUGUGUAGUGUGGGGUAUCAGCUGGUAAGUAUAGGGUUUUUUUCAUAUUUGUGUACUUAGAGUUUAGAUAGAUAAAGCCUUGUGUAUAAUAAUUAGUCAUAACCACAACUCAAAGUCAGGGACUAACUAAUUUUGGGACUUUGUGUCUGAGCCCAGGUUAAAACACUGUGUAAAAAAGCAUUUAGUGGCAUGGCUGAACAAUGCUGUAUUGAUACUUAUUUAUCCAUGUUCACAAAAAGGACUAAUGUGUUUAUUUGAUUAUUUGCACAUGUUAAACUGUGUCACCACCUUAGGCUUUCAUUUGAGUUUACUCAAAAAUCUCUAUACAGUUCUCUUUUACCACUGUGUGGACUCUGUUUACAUUAAAACAUAAAGAAGAAUGAGUAAUAAAAAGAUGUGUAGACAGAUUAAGUAGGACGAUAGAAACAGCUGUUCAGCCAUGUUCUAAGAAACCAACACAAUUUAAAGGUUCAGGAUUGUGGUUUUAAAAGUUGAAUUUUCAUGUAUUUCAUAUCUUGCUUAUUAUUUUUUAUUUAGUUAUUUAAUUUAGUUAUUUUUAUUUAUUCUACUAGUCCUUUUCAGAAAGAAGCUGUAAAAUAUGACUUAAGAAUUUUUUUUUAUUUUCUAUGACAUACAAAACAAAUUGAUGUAUGUAAUACUAUUAAACAUGAUAUACACAUGUGUAUAUGUCUGAAAAACAUUAUGCUGUAUAUUAAAGUUUGCAUUUUCUCCAGAAUUUUUGUUCAUCUUUUAAGUUCAUUUCAGUUAGAAGAAUUUGAACUUUUAAUAUUCAUUCAGAGAUUUUCUGACUCUAAAUUUUCUUUUGUCAUUACUCAUUUUUUUAUUAUUUACAUUUUAAACAUGUUUAGCUUUUUUCCAACUUCUUCUGUGUGAACAUCAGCUUUCAAAAGUUCUGCACUUUUGUUUUCACUUUAAAAAUUCUGUAUUUUCCAGCUCAUUCAGAAUUUUUAACUUAACAUUCAGUAAUUAAUUCAUUUCAGUGCAUACAUUCAGAUUCAAGCAUUCACACUGCAGUUUCUUCAGAAAAUGCACUUUCUAGUUAUUAUUAUUAUAUUUUAUUUUUCCGUACGUUUUUUGAAAGCCUACUCCUUCAAAACCGUUCAACUUAGAAAAACCAUUCAAACACCGUUAGAUUCCUAUUCUUUUGGACAACACUGCUUCUAUUUUUCAUAUUUUUAACAUUUAUAUUUUUAAUUUUAUUCAACUUUAUUCAACAAAAAUUUAUAAUGUAUUUCAAUGGGGAGACCCUUCAAAUCCUCAUUCAACUUACUCAUUUUUAAACUCUUACUACUUCCACAUACAUUGACAUAGAGCCACCAUUCAAACUUUAAAACGAAGACAAGACAUUCAACUAUUCAACUUGUAUUUAUCUUUUCAAUAUCUAUUAUACUUUUUCUUCAGUUCCAGUUUAAGUUUCAUGAUGUUUU